GGAUUGACGUGACGGUCAUGCCUUAAGGGGUAUGAACUGUUACUGUUGAUUUCUCACCUUCUGGCGAAGCGUCAUGGCCUUAACCGGCCGUGGCGGGGAACCAGGACUUUUACUGUGAAAAAAUUAGAGUGUUCAAAGCAAGCAAUCGCUUGGAUACAUUAGCAUGGAAUAAUGGAAUAGGACAAUGGUUCUAUUUGUUGGUUUCUAGGACCGUUGUA
RNAcentral lists this ribosomal RNA (218 nucleotides) under Campeiostachys nutans. RNAcentral describes it as "Elymus nutans partial small subunit ribosomal RNA". The stretch from base 96 to 218 matches the Rfam family "Eukaryotic small subunit ribosomal RNA", at positions 738 to 864 of the family's 1831-position model. Lineage: Eukaryota; Viridiplantae; Streptophyta; Magnoliopsida; Poales; Poaceae. The record is from RNAcentral.